UACGGAGGGUGCAAGCGUUGUCCGGAAUUAUUGGGCGUAAAGGGCGCGUAGGCGGCCUGGCAAGUGGAAGGUGAAAUCCCUCGGCUUAACCGAGGAACUGCCCUCCAAACUGCUUGGCUUGAGUCCGGGAGAGGUGAGUGGAAUUCCCAGUGUAGCGGUGAAAUGCGUAGAUAUUGGGAGGAACACCAGUGGCGAAGGCGGCUCACUGGACCGGAACUGACGCUGAGGCGCGAAAGCGUGGGGAGCAAACGGG
Molecule: ribosomal RNA, 253 nt
Filed under: uncultured bacterium
Lineage: Bacteria
Description: partial 16S ribosomal RNA
Rfam family: Bacterial small subunit ribosomal RNA
Source: RNAcentral